AUUGAACGCUGGCGGCAUGCUUUACACAUGCAAGUCGAACGGCAACACACUGCGAGCUUCUGCCUAGUGGCGACCGGUCGCGUAAGGCUUCGGAAUGCACCGUAUCCUGGUGUUUCAUUUCGCGUAAGAUAAGCACAUUCACGAUACGACCUAUGACUGCCACCGGGUGAACGCAAGGCCUCUUGCGCCCUUGGCCGAUGAUGUCGGAUUAGGUAGGUGGUGGGGUAAAGGCUCAUCAAGGCCACGAUCGGUAGCUGGCCUGAGAGGACGAGCAGCCACACUGGGACUGAGACACGGCCCAGACUCCUACGGGAGGCAGCAGUGGGGAAUGUUGGACAAUGGGCGCAAGCCUGAUCCAGCAAUGCCGCGUGCGGGAAGAAGGCCUUCGGGUUGUAAAGUGCUUUUGUUGGGAACGAAACGCCUCUGGUUAAUACCCGGCGCUAAUGACGGUACCGAAAGAAUAAGCACCGGCUAACUACGUG
RNAcentral lists this ribosomal RNA (482 nucleotides) under uncultured bacterium. Its description in RNAcentral is "partial 16S ribosomal RNA". It matches the Rfam family "Bacterial small subunit ribosomal RNA", at positions 30 to 507 of the family's 1533-position model. The record is from RNAcentral.